GCCAGCGUGACUCAGUUGAUAAGACUGAUAAUCAAUGUCACACACAUUAGAGAUGCGUGGGUUCAAAUCCCAUCACUGGCA
Blastomyces gilchristii SLH14081 is the source of this 81-nucleotide non-coding RNA. The record is from Rfam. NCBI's taxonomy places the organism in Eukaryota, Fungi, Ascomycota, Eurotiomycetes, Onygenales, Ajellomycetaceae.